This 788-nucleotide long non-coding RNA is filed under the name Pan troglodytes (chimpanzee). RNAcentral's name for it is "long non-coding RNA NONPTRT018433". The record is from RNAcentral. Lineage: Eukaryota; Metazoa; Chordata; Mammalia; Primates; Hominidae.
CUGGGGACACUGAGUGAAGGCUGUAAUUGCAAAGAUGUUUUCACAUGGGUGAAUUGGAAGCCCUAUGGAUGAAAAGCAAACGACGGAAUAGGGCCCUGGAUUGCUUGGCUGAAUGGAAGGGAAAAUGAAACAAGCUGAAGACUAUAGGAUGUCAACUGUGGAUACAACUCACAAGCUACCAUAUUGAUGUGACAUGAUGAAGUGGGAAGGAAAGCCAUCUGGAGUUUCACUGGUGAAUUGAUACAUCUUGCACUUAACAUUGUGUAUCCCCUGGACUUUGAUCAAAUGGACAUGGGCUUUCUGAUCUACUGCAGAGUGCCUGGAAAUUCAGGCUCCUAGGAGAAAGGAACUUGCAUUAUCUCAGGUGAGACUUUGGACUUGGACUUUUGGAUUAAUGCUGGAGUGAUAUAAGACUUUGGGGGACUGUUGGGAAGGCCUGAUUGUGUUUUGAAAUGUGAGAACAUGAGAUUUGAGAGGGUCCAGGGGUGGAAUGAUAUGGUUUGGCUGUGACCCCACCCAAAUCUCAUCUUGAAUUGUAAUCCCGAUAAUCCCACCUGUUGAGAAGGGGCCUGGUAAAUGAUGAGAUCAUGGAGGCGUUUUCCCCCAUGCUGUUCUCAUGAUAGUGAGUUCUCAGGAGAUCUGAUGGUUUUAUAAAUGGCAGUUUCCCCUAAGCUUUUCUCUCUCUUCUGCUGCCUUGUGAAGAGGUACUUGCUUCUCCUUCACCUUCUAUCAUGAUUGUAAGUUUCCUGAGGCCUCCCCAGCCAUGUGGAACUGUGAGUCAAUUAAAC